ACUGUGCAAAGACGAAAGUGGACGUAUACGGUGUGACGGCUGGCCGGUGCCGGAAGGGUAAUUGAUGGGGUUAGCGAAAGCGAAGCUCUUGAGCGAAGCCCCGGUAAACGGCGGCGGUAACUAUAACGGUCCUAAGGUAGCGAAAUUCCUUGUCGGGUAAGUUCCGACCUGCACGAAUGGCGUAAUGAUGGCCAGGCUGUCUCCGCCCGAGACUCAGUGAAAUUGAAAUCGCUGUGAAGAUGCAGUGUACCCGCGGCAAGACGGAAAGACCCCGUGAACCUUUACUAUGGCUUGACACUGAACAUUGAGCCUUGAUGUGUAGGAUAGGUGGGAGGCAUUGAAACGUGAACGCCAGUUUGCGUGGAGCCGACCUUGAAAUACCACCGUUUAAUGUUUGAUGUUCUAACGUUGUCCCGUAAUCCGUGAUACGGACAGUGUCUGGUGGGUAGUUUGACUGGGGCGGUCUCCUCCUAAAGAGUAACGGAGG
Molecule: ribosomal RNA, 487 nt
Filed under: Plesiomonas shigelloides
Lineage: Bacteria; Pseudomonadati; Pseudomonadota; Gammaproteobacteria; Enterobacterales; Enterobacteriaceae
Description: partial 23S ribosomal RNA
Rfam family: Bacterial large subunit ribosomal RNA
Source: RNAcentral